Long non-coding RNA from Musca domestica (house fly), 315 nucleotides. RefSeq lists it as uncharacterized. Lineage: Eukaryota; Metazoa; Arthropoda; Insecta; Diptera; Muscidae. The record is from RefSeq and is a predicted model, not a curated record. The transcript has 2 exons.
GAGAGAAACAGGUUAUCAAGAGAAGGAUAUUGCAUGUUUUAAUUGCAAUAAGAAGGGUCAUUAUGCUAACCAAUGCAAAGAACCGGCAAAGAGGUGUAACCAAUGUAAGCGAUGGGGACAUCAGACCCAUGAAUGUUCAAAAGUAGCAGAUGCAUCACGAGGACGUGUGCAGAGGAGCGUGGCCGAGUUAAAGGCACUUACAUAAAUUCAUUUUCAUUUCAUUAUUUUGGGAAAAGCAUUCCAUGAAAUAUAAUUUAUGAAUACCGAAAAAUAUGAAAAAUAAUAAAAUUAUUGUCUUAUCAAUUUUCAAAUAUA